UGGGGAAUAUUGCGCAAUGGGGGGAACCCUGACGCAGCCAUGCCGCGUGAAUGAAGAAGGCCUUCGGGUUGUAAAGUUCUUUCGGUAUUGAGGAAGGUUGAUGUGUUAAUAGCACAUCAAAUUGACGUUAAAUACAGAAGAAGCACCGGCUAACUCCGUGCCAGCAGCCGCGGUAAUACGGAGGGUGCGAGCGUUAAUCGGAAUAACUGGGCGUAAAGGGCACGCAGGCGGUUAUUUAAGUGAGGUGUGAAAGCCCUGGGCUUAACCUAGGAAUUGCAUUUCAGACUGGGUAACUAGAGUACUUUAGGGAGGGGUAGAAUUCCACGUGUAGCGGUGAAAUGCGUAGAGAUGUGGAGGAAUACCGAAGGCGAAGGCAGCCCCUUGGGAAUGUACUGACGCUCAUGUGCGAAAGCGUGGGGAGCAAACAGGAUUAGAUACCCUGGUAGUCCACGCUGUAAACGCUGUCGAUUUGGGGGUUGGGGUUUAACUCUGGCGCCCGUAGCUAACGUGAUAAAUCAACCGCCUGGGGAGUACGGCCGCAAGGUUA
RNAcentral lists this ribosomal RNA (547 nucleotides) under uncultured bacterium. RNAcentral's name for it is "bacterial SSU rRNA". It matches the Rfam family "Bacterial small subunit ribosomal RNA", at positions 355 to 896 of the family's 1533-position model. The record is from RNAcentral.